AGGACUCUACUUGACUAGCUGAGAGGAGGUGCAUGGCCGUCGUCAGUUCGUACUGUGAAGCAUCCUGUUAAGUCAGGCAACGAGCGAGACCCACGCCAACAGUUGCCAGCUCGUCCUCCGGGAUGGUGGGGACACUGUUGGGACCGCCUCUGCUAAAGAGGAGGAAGGAAUGGGCAACGGUAGGUCAGCAUGCCCCGAAUUAUCUGGGCUACACGCGGGCUACAAUGGGUGGGACAAUGGGUAUCGACACCGAAAGGUGAAGGCAAUCCUGAAAGCAGGCCUCAGUUCAGAUUGCAGUCUGCAACUCGACUGCAUGAAGCCGGAGUUGCUAGUAACCGCAGGUCAGCAAUACUGCGGUGAAUACGUUCCCGGGUCUU
This 377-nucleotide ribosomal RNA is filed under the name uncultured Methanomicrobiales archaeon. Its description in RNAcentral is "bacterial SSU rRNA". It matches the Rfam family "Archaeal small subunit ribosomal RNA", at positions 962 to 1338 of the family's 1478-position model. The record is from RNAcentral. Lineage: Archaea; Methanobacteriati; Methanobacteriota; Methanomicrobia; Methanomicrobiales.